CCUACGGGAGGCAGCAGUAGGGAAUCUUCCACAAUGGGCGAAAGCCUGAUGGAGCAACGCCGCGUGGGUGAAGAAGGUCUUCGGAUCGUAAAACCCUGUUGUUAGAGAAGAAAGUGCGUGAGAGUAACUGUUCACGUUUCGACGGUAUCUAACCAGAAAGCCACGGCUAACUACGUGCCAGCAGCCGCGGUAAUACGUAGGUGGCAAGCGUUAUCCGGAUUUAUUGGGCGUAAAGGGAACGCAGGCGGUCUUUUAAGUCUGAUGUGAAAGCCUUCGGCUUAACCGGAGUAGUGCAUUGGAAACUGGGAGACUGGAGUGCAGAAGAGGAGAGUGGAACUCCAUGUGGAGCGGUGAAAUGCGUAGAUAUAUGGAAGAACACCAGUGGCGAAAGCGGCUCUCUGGUCUGUAACUGACGCUGAGGUUCGAAAGCGUGGGUAGCAAACAGGAUUAGAUACCCCUGUAGUC
Molecule: ribosomal RNA, 465 nt
Filed under: uncultured bacterium
Lineage: Bacteria
Description: partial 16S ribosomal RNA
Rfam family: Bacterial small subunit ribosomal RNA
Source: RNAcentral